CGGUCGGUGCAUGAGUGGGUACACGAGACGCUAGAUGUAGGCACCGAUCGGGGACACACUGGAUGGCAUAUCAGUUGGUUAACGAUGGUUAUUGGUGGGAUACGAGUUGGUACACUAGUCGGUAUACGAUCAUGACGCCCCCGAGUGGGCACGUCGUUUGGGCCUUGCCYUUGAYGGCGUGCUUGCGUCAACGGUUGGCCUAGGCCAACCGGGUCGAAAUGACGAUGUGGCUACACAACGUCAUGGAGGCAUGUCCCUACACAAUGGUUGAUCCUAGCUUCAAGAUAUCAGUACGAUAUUGAUCAYCCGUUGUGCCUCGACGCAUGUUGGUUUUUUYUGUUUUCUUUGUUACUUUCGCAUCGCUCGGUGCAUUCUGGGGGCUGUUUUGGCUUUUGGUUGCUUGCUUGGCWUUUUUGUCGGGUGGGUGGCUACUAGUUGGGCGGUUUUCGGGAAUGUCGACCGUAAAGGUGCAUGAGUGGUGUUUGGUUUGUUACGGGUGGUUGGCUGUCUGCUCGCGCAGCAACGUCCAYGCGUGCAUACCUCUUCAGUUUUGCGGCAAGGCUUAGAUUGUCUUGAGCAUAUUGUGGGUUUCCUGUGUUGCAUACCUAAUCGAUGGUAAYGUGUGGGUUUUAUGAUGUCCCUAUUCGUCAUGCGUCGCUCAUGUGACGUUGGAUGAACGUUGAAGCGGUCUUUGUGAUCCAUCUUGUUGUUGCAUUUGCAACAAUGAUGUGGCCUAUGAAGCAUUGCUUGGUCUCUCGUAUACAGAAYCUAAUGUGGGCAUGGGUCUUGUAAGAUCCUGAAUUUGCCCUCGUUAAGCGUUCUCGCUUCUCCAAAACGAUUGUCCACCAUGUACUGGCUUGUCCAUGCAUGGUGGGCUACGUCGA
RNAcentral lists this unclassified non-coding RNA (884 nucleotides) under Myopordon pulchellum. RNAcentral's name for it is "external transcribed spacer". Lineage: Eukaryota; Viridiplantae; Streptophyta; Magnoliopsida; Asterales; Asteraceae. The record is from RNAcentral.